Stegodyphus dumicola is the source of this 5336-nucleotide long non-coding RNA. The record is from RefSeq and is a predicted model, not a curated record. NCBI's taxonomy places the organism in Eukaryota, Metazoa, Arthropoda, Arachnida, Araneae, Eresidae.
UCAUUAAAAUCAAUCUUUCUUUUCAAACAUGCAUUUCACAAGGUGUUUCCAUAUUUUUGUCCAUCCACUGUAUGUGCAAGUAGUUUGAUGUCUCGUAAAAAAAAUAAAAUCGGUCAAGCCAACAAAAUCAUAGAAAUAGGCGAAAGUCUUUUCACAAAAAGAAAAAAAAAAAAAUGUUGGAUGGGUUCUUCCAGGAUAAUGGGUAUUCGGAGGUUUAUGCCGGGAAAGCAAAGAAAUGUUUUCUGGUCAUCAUUCCUGAUGUCCCCAUUGUGCUACAACAUUGCUGACUGCCAUUUAGGAAAACAUCACAGAUGGCAGCAUCCUAUUGUCAGAUUGCCAAGAAGAAUGUAAGAAAGAGGAAUUAAGAAAAUGCUGGGUAUGAAAAUUUCACUGUGAAUUAUAAUAUUAUAGACCCCGAAACCGGAUGCCAUACCCAACUGUGAAAAGAUUGUGGGGCAGUGCUAAAUGGAGAAAUAAACGUCAUCGACAUGCUGCUUGCCACCAUUUAGGAUCAUAUUUAAUAGAAUUAAUGUGGCAUCGGUUAUGUUCAAAAACUGAAUUUUUCCUAUGAUAUUUGUCAUUUUAUGCCACCUGUUUAGAUUAAAUUUAACGUUUGUUUCGUUAUUUUUUAUUUAUGUGUAGAGUAUUCUAGAUUAAAAAAUUAAAAAGAAAAGUUUACUUUCUUUAAGGAUUAUAAGAUUUUAAAAAAAUUACCUUUUUACAGAAGUCAGUUCUUUAGUUUUUUGAAUUCCAUUAUUAUUUCAUAAUUUUAAACUCGACAACAAUUGGUGGUUUAAAAAAAAGUGGUACAUUUUUAACUGCCGUCACUUUGAUGGAAUAAGCACCUUUUCUGUUAAUCGAAUCAAAUAAUUUGUAUUCUGGCUUCAUCCUAGUAUACGGUAGACAUGGGAUUUGAUGACAUUAUUAUGAGCAGUAAAUAGUCAUUUCGGUGGUGGGGAUAAUAUUCAAAUUUGUACCAAGGCUGUACCAUAUACUAGGAUUUUACCUUUAUGGAGGUUUUCAGUUAUGUUUGAAUAUACAGGCAGCCCUCCACUUUUGCACGUAAUUGGUUCCUGAAAAUACAUGCAGAUGCUGAAUGUUUGAAAAUAGAGGAAUGUAAAAGAAAUAUUAAUAAUUAUAUUUUUAAAUAUUUAUUUAUGAAUACACAUAAUUAAAUUAACAGGGCAUGUUUAAGUGCUUUCAGGUGUUUUCUUCAUAAAUUUCUCAAGAGUUACUUGAAUAUCACCCAUCAGCCAGCUUCUUCCUUGCUUUUAUUACAUAUUUCAUUUAUCUUUUCUUGCUCAAUAAAGUAUUCAUUUCACAAAAGUAAUGAGUGAGAUUUAGUUAAUGCAUUAACAUCUUUCAUUUCACAAAAGUAUUAAGUGACAUUUAAUCAAUGCAUUAACAUCUUCGUUGCUGACAUCCAAGUUUACAUCAUUUAUUAGGUUAAUUAUUACUGUUACUAAUAGUUUCCAAAGUCUCUUCAGAAUUUAUAAAAUUGCUCAUCAUUUUUUUUAAUUAAUUGUUUCCAAGGAUCUUUCAUUGUUGAUUCUUUUUUUUUUUUUUCAGCCCACAAAUCUCUAUUAAUAUUAUGUUCCAAAAAUCUCUUUAACCUUCCCGCCAGUUGCCUCGAUGGUCUGAUUCAUUAUUGUUUCGAUCACUCAAACAACUCUAUCACUGUUUGAUCCGUAGUUGUAUGAGGCAGGUAGUAUUAGGAGGAAGAAACACAACAUUGAUUUCCAGGUAUAAAUUCUGCAGGGUUUUUUGUAUCAAGGGGCAUUGCAUAAGAUUCAGAAUGCUUUAAACUGUAAAUUUUUAUCUUUGCAAUAUUGCUUAACUGCCUGAAAUGAAAACUGACAUAAUCUUUAAAUAUUAAUGCAGUAACCAGUUCUGUCUUUAUACUUUCUGGAAAUUUAAGAAAAUGCAUGUACCAUUACAUUUUAAAUUUUCUACAAUUAUUUAUCAUUAAUAUGUUUAUUAACAUUUACUGCCAAUGUGCUCACAUGGACUAUUUAUCGUUGGGGAUUGUGUCUCGAACCUAAGAACUCUGGUGAUGCACGACUUGUGUUAUCUUAUGGGAGUGGCUGCAUGGUAGUGAACAAUUGUUGUAAUAUUGCCAAUUUUUUUUUUUUUUUUUUUUUCAAAAUUUUUUCAAAUUCAAAAUAUGCGAAAUAGCAAAUUGGCAGCAGUAGAAUGUGUGAAAGUCGAGGGCCACCUUUACAUACUUUCAUCAUUAUAUUGCACUUAAAAUAUAAUAUCAGCAUGUUUAUAUAAUACUAUGCUGUCACAAAUGUAUAUUUUCAGCCAAAUUCUCUAAUUAUUUGGAAUAAAAAUUCAGAAUGCCAAUCAUUUAAAUUGAUAUUUUUUGCCUCAAGUUAAGAGAAAUUAAAAAUAAUGUGUUGUACAUUUAUUUGUACUCUUUUAACUUUUCAUGGAUUUAAAUAAUAUGAAAAUGUACACUAGAUUACAUAUUUUUAAGAAGCUAUUGAAAACAUUUAGUUGAAUGUUACAAAUUGUAACAUUAAUAGAAAAGAAGUUACAUAUUAUAGAUAGGUUUAAUAUUCUUUGUUUACGAUUAAGUCAUUUGUUACCUGUAAAAAGUCUUUCCUCUUCAUGCAAAAAUUUUUUGUUUUAUUGUCUUUUUUAAUGUGCAGUAGAACUACAGUCUUAUUACUUUCUAUCAACAUUUGCUGUAUGUCAUGCUUUCCCUCUUUUUGUUAAAUUCCUUGAAAGUAAAAUGUCAUGGCACAGGUCAGUAGAAUAUCUCUUAAUUGUUUUCAUUAAAUCAUAAAUGUAAUAUAAAAAUUUUAUAUUUUCCUUAUUUUAUUUCUGUAAAUAAUAUCUUAAAUUUAGUUGAAUGAAAAUGAAUUAUAUAUUUUUAUUUAUUCAAGCGGAAAAUAAUUCCAUUAAUUUUAGUGCAGUAACUAUAAAAGCAAGCUUAUGUAUUUAGAUUUUAGGCUCUAUAAAUUUCAUUGUUACAUUGUAAUUGAAAUUGAGAUAGAUUCUCUGCUAGGUAUAUAGAAAAACGACUUAAUUGUUUACUUUUUUUUUAAAGUGUUUUAUGUAAGCAAAUUAAAAAGACUCUCAAGUUACCAAAGGAACUUGAAUCAGCCUUUCUACUGCCACACAAGGUUUCAUGAAGUUAGAUUUUAUGCAAGGAACCAAUGAUUUCGUGUUCCAAUGAUUCCAUCUGUCAGAGAGUGGUCUUUAAAGAGGUGUCAUCAUCUUGUUUAGUAGAGUCAAGAGGAGUGUAACCAUGAAUUGUAUAUUGAUGAUUCCAGAUAUAGCCUCAACUGUGAUACUGGACAUGUUGUGAUCUGAAGGAUGCGAGGAACAUGUACUAUUCUUUCCUUCAUGAAAGGGUUCAUUUCCAGGUUUGGUUACAGAACCUUAAAACCACUUCUGUACUAACCUUAGCUUCAGGUUACAGAAGUGGUUUCAAGGUUUGGGUAGAAUCAUCAAAAAUGGCCACACUGUGCUAUAUAUAAAUGAUGGAGGUUCAGUAACAAACCUCAGAUAUGUGGAGAACCUUAUGCAAGGUUGUUCACAUGUGUGGUUGGCUCAUCUUUAGCUAAUGAAUGACAGUUUUUAUCUGCAUUGCAUAUCUCUGGUAUCAGAACCCUUGGAAACAGAAGAUUUGGCCAGCUUAUUCAUCAACCUGUUUGAGACCAUAUGGGAUUCCUUUGACAGCUGAAUCCCAGCAUGCAAAAUGCCUCCCCAGAACCUCCGAGAUCUGAAAAGUGCACUUUCCUAAGAAGUAGUUUCAGUGAUCUUCAGUUGUAGAAGUCAAAAACUCUUGUAUAUUGCCAAAAGUUUAUUGGUAGUCUAACUUAGCUAGAUGUAUGAGACAUGCUGAAAGUGAAGGCCAAGUACUCACCCCUUAAGAACAUAGGCCAAAAUUCAAAAAAAGGUUAGAUCAAUAAUGUUACGGAUGAAGCAUUUGAUGAUAUUAGCAGAAGAUUUAUGCCAAGUGAUUUGGUUGUUUUUAACCGCUUUUCAAUUAUAUAUAGAUUUCAGAAUUGUAAUUUAAUGUGUUAUGUUUAAAUCACAAUGAUAUAAUAUUAGUAUUUAUUAUUAAAGAUUUGUCUCUUUUUAUUGUUCAGCUUGAUAUUUAUCCUCAUUGUAGUUUUUAGAAACAUAGUUAUGUAUUUUGGAAGACACAUAUAAGUAGUACGUAUGUUACUUUUCUUCAUGUGUCUUACGUUAUGUAAGGCACUUGUGGUACCUUAUGGGGCACUUGCCCAGGGCCUGUAUUUUCAUGUAAAUUUGUUCCUGUAAAUGUUGUGUUUAAAAUAUGUCACACUUUGUAAAAUUAAAAACAAAAGAAUUAUUAUUUGGUCCCCAAUUCCCCCCCCAUUCUGGGCAAAUAGCUGUUACGUGCUAUGUUAUAAUAAAUUAAAACCAUGAAAACAAAAUGCACAAAAGAGAUGUUUUUGUUUCAAUAAUUUUAACUGAAAAAAUAUUAAUUUUUAGGUCAUUUCAUGAAUUGUUUUUUGUAAUGUUUAUGAAAUGUCUCGUGAAAUGUUUUACGUAAUGUGUUUUAACGUCAUUGAUACCUGCUAUGUUGGAAAAAAUUAUGAGAGGUGCUUCUACAAGAGGUUUUGUCCCAGGCCUCAUGUAAAUUAGUCCCUUGUUUUGACUAUUUUAUCAUUCAGCAUUUUUCUUCAUGAAUAUAAUGCUGAAAUAAUUUAAUAAAUGUAUUUAGAAUUCAGUCUUAAACAUUAGAAUGUAAAUUACUAAUUCAUGUUACUUUUACUUCAUUAUUUUUGUAACCUAUAACAUGUUAAAUGUUAUAUCUUGAGAAAAUGUAGAAAGUUCGUUAAUUAUCCUAUUAAUUGUAUCUAAUAAGUUGAAAAUGAAGCAUUAAAGCAACUUUAGAUUGUCAGUUUUAGAUGUAAAAAAAGCAACUGCUUUUUUUACAUCUAAAACUUACAUCUAAAACAUAGAUUACAUCUAAAACUUAGAUAAUCUUUUCUUUUCUUUUUCUUUUUCUACCAAUUUAAGGUUUCUUUUUAGUCUAAUUUCAAAUUUUAUGUUGACAUGUUUCUCUUCAUUUUAUAUUUGAUAAGUUUUCUGUGUAAAUAUUGCAGCACAGGUUAAGUUAUUUGGCAUUAUCCAUUAUUGCUCUCUUUCACUUUAUCAUAUGUUUCACUCAUAUUUCUAACUAUUUAUAUUUCUUAUAUUAAAUAUAUUCUUGAUUCGUAUGUGUCUUUCAUGGAGAUCUUUCGAUCAUUUUAUCUGUGAUAUUUGAAGAACUGCAAAAUUUCCUGUAAAUGCUGUCAUUAUUCAAAUUUUAGCUUAGGAUAAUUUUAAUAAAGGUUAUUAAAUCGGAAAAA